GAAGGACAGAGGACCCUGGGCUGUAAUACGCAACAUCACCGUCACCGUGAACCCAAUCAGGAAACAGACAGGAGCUCUUGUGGCCGGCAUAAUAUUCUCCGUGAUUCUCCUCGCUGGCAUAGUUUUCCUGGCAAGACCAGUGAUGGCAAACUAUCAAGCACGUCAGGUUCAAAUGAAGAAGCAAAGGAACUCCAAUGGGGAAAAUGGCCACACUGAUCCAGAUUGCUCUCCCUAUGCUGUGGGCUACAGGCAGCCGGAACCUUACUCUGUGGUACCGAUCAGGACACAGAUGGACAGUGCUGUGGGCUUCAGGCAGCCGGAACCUUACUCUGUAGUACCCAUCAGGACACAGAUGGACAGUGCUGUGUCCUCACCAGCAGGACCCAGUGGACAGACCUCAGAUAUGCCUGAACCUUACUCUGUCAUUGCACUCAACAAUAUAGCGUAAAACAACAGGUACCUCGGUCUAGAACCUCAAAGAUCCAGGUAGCUUAAAACAACAGGUACCCCGGUCUAGAACCUCAAAGAUCCA
Clupea harengus (Atlantic herring) is the source of this 532-nucleotide long non-coding RNA. NCBI's taxonomy places the organism in Eukaryota, Metazoa, Chordata, Actinopteri, Clupeiformes, Clupeidae. The record is from Ensembl.